Molecule: non-coding RNA, 21 nt
Filed under: Caenorhabditis elegans
Lineage: Eukaryota; Metazoa; Nematoda; Chromadorea; Rhabditida; Rhabditidae
Source: RNAcentral
UAUACAUUUUUUGCAAUUGCU